This is a non-coding RNA of Pelobates cultripes (western spadefoot toad), 403 nucleotides long. Lineage: Eukaryota; Metazoa; Chordata; Amphibia; Anura; Pelobatidae. The record is from the annotation of a GenBank genome assembly.
CUGGGCUGGGUUAGAAGGUGAGGGCUUGCAAAGGCAGCAGUUAAAGGGAUACUCUAGGUACCCAGACCACUUCUGCCCAUUGGAGUGGUCUGGAUGCCAACUCCCACUACCCUUAACCCUGCAAGUGUAAUUACUGCAGUUUUCAUAAAUCUAUCAGACAGCCCCUAGAGGGACUUCCGUGUUCUUAGAACACGAAAAGUGUUUUAAGCAAUGCUGGAUGUCCUUAUGCUAUGUGAGGACCUCCAGCGUCGACGAAAUCCCCAUAUGAUAGCAUUCAAUGCUUUCCGAUGGGGAGGGCUAAUGACGUCGGCGGGGGAGGAGCGUAGGCGGAGCCUGUCCCAGCGGAAACAGACAUCGGCACUGGACUCUGGUAAGUCACUGAAGGGGUUUUAACCACUUCAGC